This is a long non-coding RNA of Ruditapes philippinarum (Manila clam), 3172 nucleotides long. RefSeq lists it as uncharacterized. NCBI's taxonomy places the organism in Eukaryota, Metazoa, Mollusca, Bivalvia, Venerida, Veneridae. The transcript is spliced from 6 exons. The record is from RefSeq and is a predicted model, not a curated record.
GGCUACCAUUUACAGCACUGAUUAACUUUUGACAACAUGUUAGGUGAAUUUAAACAGGGAGUGUCUGGUUAUUUGUAUGUGAAAUGUCGAAACACAGAAUGCGGUUAUGUGAAUUGUGUUCCCUAUGGAAAAACACACAGACUCUAGUAGAUUGAAGACCUGUGAAAGUUGGAAUGCCAUGUUUCGUUGUCAACACAAAAUUAGGAACAGCAAUGAUUGAUAGUGUAGGUGGGCCGGUGAGGGUCAACAAUUUGUUGUCAACACUAAAUAUACCAACAAUUGGAAAUAAAAACAUGAAAAGAAAUGGAGAUACGUGUUGGAAAUAUCAUUGAGACAGCACUGGCUUCUAUGCCGACAGAAUCUGCUGCAUAAGAUCAAGGAAAUGGAGGAUGUGCAUCAUGAAGAAUCAAUUGUAUCAGAACACAACAUCAUGGAAGAUCUUAUUGACAAGAUCUCGGAGGAUGUCCUUUGCCAGAUGUUUGCCAGCACUAAAGUCUAUUCAUCAGUCAGAUGCUACAGUUACAAAUGACAGUGAAUGGUCAGAUUUAUACAAUUGUGAUUAACAAUCCUCAACAAUACAUCAAACAAAAAUGCCUAUUAAACUUUCUCACAGACAGUCAUAGGUUGAAAACAAAUCAGAAGUGGUCCACAUCUUAAAAAACCUCACAGCAGAUUAAGACUUUCCCCGAAAUUUCCCUGUAAAACCCGCAGUGGUAUGUCCAGUGCAGUAGAUACUGCCUGGCACAAAAGAGGAUUUGACAGUUUAACAUUGUACUGCACCAAUAAACUAAAUAUGGAGAGAAGCUUAGUCACCAAAGCAGUCAACACCAAAAUACACACAAUGGCCAGGGCACUGAAACUUGGAAGAGUGAAAGAGUAAAGUAGUGCGUUUUUAGCUAACAAAGUGACAUUGCUAGCUUUUGUCUAUCUUUCGUCCGUAAACUUGAUCUUUAAACAACAUCUCAUAAAUUGCCAAGCCAAUUUCAUGCAAACUUACGAUAUUGUCUAGUCAGUUUUUGUUUUGCUUGCAAUCGUUAUAUGACAUGACUAAAGACAUUUAGUUUUAUUCUUAAGUUAUUAUGUUUAUGUUUGUAUAAGACCCAAAUAUAUUGUUAAGAUUCAUUUUUACAAAUUUGAAAGCCAUUAUUGUUCUAGUCAGUUUUUGUUUUGCUUGCAAUCAUUAUAUUACAUGGCUAAAGACAUUUAGUUUUAAUCUUUAAUAGUUAUGUCUAUAUUUGUAUAAGACCCAAAAAUAUUGUUAAGAUUCAUUUUUACAAUUUUGAAAGCCAUUAUUGCUCUAGUUUGUUUUUGUUUUGCUUGCAAUUGUUAUAUGACAUGACUAAAGACAUUUAGUUUAAAUCUUUAGUUAUUAUGUCUAUGAGGGGCGUCCGUGGCCGAGUGGUUAAGGUCAUUGACUUCAAACCACUUGCCCCUCACCGCUGUGGGUUGGAAUCCCGACAGGGACUUUGGAUUCUUUCUUGUGAGGAAGCUAUCCAGCUAGCUUAACUGAACGUCAGUGGUUCUACUCAGAUACCCGUUCGUGCCUGAAAUAAUGCAAGGAAGGGCACCUGAACGUCACGAUAUGACCUUUACUGUGUUGAUGUGACGUAAAAACCCAAAACAAGCAAACAAAAAAUUAUGUCUAUGAAAUUCGUUGUUUGUAUAAGACCCAAAUAUAUUGUUGUGAUUAAUUUUAACAAUUUUGAAAGCCAUAAUUGUAUGUGUCAGAUAUUGUUUUGCUCACAAUCAUAAUGUUAUAUGACAUAUGAGUUUAAAUCUGAAGGUAUUAUGUCCAUGAAAUAUGUUGUUUGUUUAAGACCAAAAUAUAUUUUGGAGAUUCAUUUUUACAAUUUUGAAAGCCAUUAUUGGUCUAGUCUGUUUUUGCAUAACACAUAACGCUAUUGUUAGUAUUUAUUGUUAUUUAUAGUGAUUUGUCUAAGUGGAUGUAGAAGUAUGUAUGUUAUUCCAUGCCAGUUCAUGUUUGAAUGAAACUUUUUGACCAGAUAGAAGUUUUCAAACUGUAACUUUUCUGAUAUUUAGCUUUUACAACAAUAUUAUAUUUCCCAUUUAUGGUGCUAAGAAAUACUGCAACAUGUGCUGAAUAAUAGCUAUUGUCAAACAUUGUUUAUAUGCUCCCCGAAAAAUUUCGGCGGACCAUAUAGUCAUUGGGUUGUCUGUCCGUCCGUCUGUACGUACAUACGAACCUGAAUUCGUGUCCAGCCCAUAACUUUGUUAUUUCAAGUUGGAUUUUAAAACUAUUUCACAGAAAUGCUCACCAUAUUGAGACGACCUGUCGCCCGCAACAUUUGGUCGCUACCUUGAAGGUCAAGGUCACACCAUGACCUUGAACAAAAUCAUGUCCUGCCCAUAACUUCGUUAUUUGAAGUCGGAUUUUAAAGCUAUUUAAAAGUAAUGAUCACCAUAUUAAGACGAUGUGUCGUGAGCAGCAUUUGGGUCGUUACCUUGAAGGUCAAGGUCACAGCAUGACCUUAAACAAAAAUUGUGCCGGCCCAUAACUUGGUUAUUUGAUGUCGGAUUUUACAACUAUUUCACAGAAAUGAUCACCAUAUUGAGACGAUGUGUCGCACACACCAUUUGGGUCAAUACCUUGAAGGUCAAGGUCGCAACAUGACAUUGAAGCAAAAUCGUGUCUGGCCCAUAAAUUCGUUAUUUGAAGUCGGAUUUUACAACUAUUUCACCGAAAUAAUCACCAUAUUGAGACGAUAUGUCACAUGCAACAUUUGGGUCAUUACCUUGAAGGUCUAGGUCACAGCAUGACCUUGAAGCAAAAAUGUGUACGGCCCAUAACGUCGUUAUUUAAAAUGGGAUUUUACAACUAUUUUGGAAUUAUCACACUUUGAACUUUGUCUGGGACAUAACCCUGAAACUUCAAAAGAUAUACUUUUCUGUAUCUAGGAUCACCCAGGUUCAACCGGCUCUUGUUUUAAUUGAUUAUUAAGUAUGAACAAUUCAUGAUAGCAUCAUAACUAAAGAGUGGAAAUUUAUGAAAGUCAAAUAUGUAUAGAAUCAGUUGCUAAUAAAAUGUGUGUAAAAUUUAUCUCUUUUUGGGAAUUAAUUUCUUUAUUUUACAAAUUUAUCAAAUUUCAUUUUAUUCUACUGAUAUGUUUGUAAUAUUUCUUUUAUUUUCUAUUGAAAAAAUGUGUUAAACCAA